GAUGAACGCUGGCGGCGUGCUUAACACAUGCAAGUCGAACGAGAAGUGAAGACGGAAACCUUCGGGCGGAAGGCUUUAUUUCGAGUGGCGGACGGGUGAGUAACGCGUGGGUAACCUGCCUCAUACAGGGGGAUAACAGUUGGAAACGACUGUUAAUACCGCAUAAGACCACAGCACCGCAUGGUGCGGGGGUAAAAACUCCGGUGGUAUGAGAUGGACCCGCGUUCGAUUAGCCAGUUGGCGGGGUAACGGCCCACCAAAGCGACGAUCGAUAGCCGAUCGGAGAGGAUGCCCGGCCACAUUGGGACUGAGACACGGCCCAAACUCCUACGGGAGGCAGCAGUGGGGAAUAUUGCACAAUGGAGGAAACCCUGAUGCAGCGACGCCGCGUGAGUGAAGAAGUAUUUCGGUAUGUAAAGCUCUAUCAGCAGGGAAGAAAAUGACGGUACCUGGGUAAGAAGCCCCGGCUAACUACGUG
Molecule: ribosomal RNA, 478 nt
Filed under: uncultured bacterium
Lineage: Bacteria
Description: partial 16S ribosomal RNA
Rfam family: Bacterial small subunit ribosomal RNA
Source: RNAcentral